RNAcentral lists this ribosomal RNA (718 nucleotides) under Erysiphe coriariae. Its description in RNAcentral is "eukaryotic LSU rRNA". It matches the Rfam family "Eukaryotic large subunit ribosomal RNA", at positions 1 to 731 of the family's 3401-position model. Lineage: Eukaryota; Fungi; Ascomycota; Leotiomycetes; Helotiales; Erysiphaceae. The record is from RNAcentral.
UUGACCUCGAAUCAGGUAGGAAUACCCGCUGAACUUAAGCAUAUCAAUAAGCGGAGGAAAAGAAACCAACCGGGAUUACCUCAGUAACGGCGAGUGAAGCGGUAACAGCUCAAAUUUGAAAUCUGGCUCCUUCGGAGUCCGAGUUGUAAUUUGUAGAAGAUGCUUUGGGUUGUGGGCUCGGCCUAAGUUCCUUGGAACAGGACGUCAUAGAGGGUGAGAAUCCCGUAUGUGGCCAUGGCCCGCGCCUAUGUAAAGCUCUUUCGACGAGUCGAGUUGUUUGGGAAUGCAGCUCAAAAUGGGUGGUAAAUUUCAUCUAAAGCUAAAUAUGGGCCAGAGACCGAUAGCGCACAAGUAGAGUGAUCGAAAGAUGAAAAGCACUUUGGAAAGAGAGUUAAACAGUACGUGAAAUUGUUGAAAGGGAAGCGCUUGCAACCAGACUUGGGCGCUGCCGAUCACCCCGAGUUCUCUCGGGUGCACUCGACAGCGCACAGGCCAGCAUCGGUUCGGGUGGCUGGAUAAAGGCCGUAGGAAUGUAGCUCUCUUCGGGGAGUGUUAUAGCCCACGGUGCCAUGCAGCCCAGCCGGACCGAGGACCGCGCCUUCGGGCUAGGAUGCUGGCGUAAUGGUUGUAAGCGACCCGUCUUGAAACACGGACCAAGGAGUCUAACAUCUAUGCGAGUGUUUGGGCGUUAAACCCAUACGCGGAAUGAAAGUGAACG